This 460-nucleotide ribosomal RNA is filed under the name uncultured bacterium. Its description in RNAcentral is "partial 16S ribosomal RNA". It matches the Rfam family "Bacterial small subunit ribosomal RNA", at positions 338 to 795 of the family's 1533-position model. The record is from RNAcentral.
CCUACGGGAGGCAGCAGUGAGGAAUAUUGGGCAAUGGGCGCGAGCCUGAACCAGCCAAGUAGCGUGAAGGAUGACUGCCCUACGGGUUGUAAACUUCGUUUAUAAAGGAGUAAAGUGAGGCACGUGAGCCUUUUUGUAUGUACUUUAUGAAUAAGGAUCGGCUAACUACGUGCCAGCAGCCGCGGUAAUACGGAGGAUCCGAGCGUGGUCCGGAGUUAUUGGGUUUAAAGGGAGCGUAGAUGGGUUGUUAAGUCAGUUGUGAAAGUUUGCGGCUCAACCGUAAAAGUGCAAUGGAUACUGGCAGACUUGAGUACAGAUGAGGUAGGUGGAAUUCGUGGUGUAGCGGUGAAAUGCGUAGAGAUCAGGAAGAACUCCGAUUGCGAAGGCAGCUUUCUAAACUGUCACUGACAUUGAUGCUCGAAAGCGUGGGGAUCAAACAGGAUUAGAUACCCCUGUAGUC